Molecule: long non-coding RNA, 1597 nt
Organism: Homo sapiens (human)
Lineage: Eukaryota; Metazoa; Chordata; Mammalia; Primates; Hominidae
Gene: AHI1-DT
Product: AHI1 divergent transcript
Source: Ensembl
GAAGACCGCGGCCCCGUCCCCGCGCCUCCACCGCCUUCUUCCAGGAGGAGGGGCCGUGCGGCGCCUGCCCGGGGGCCCUCAGGCCGCAGGCGGGCGCGAGCUUCAGGGAACUUAGGGGGCUCCCGCCUCCCCGGCCACGCGAGCGGGAACAGUCUCCUCCACUCGGAGCGCCACUCAUCAUGCCUUACCUGGAUGAUGCAGAAGUCCCUGGAAACAGAAGAUUAUAGAUCCAGACUCCUGUGCCUGACCACUGCCCAUGGCCAACUCUCUGCUGAUGACUGGACUUGACUACACAAGUUGUUGGCCAUCUUAAAACCACUCAAAGUUGACGGUCUCCUCUCCUGCCUCCUGCGGCUUCCAUUACCAUGGCAGAGACUGUGGUGUCUGAGGUGGUGUAGCGUACUGAAGCAAGGCUGUCUUGAAGAAGAGGAGACAACUCACAAUUCUACCACCUUUGUUGACCUCUUCUUCCCCCCAACUUAUUGCUGUAGAGGCUACCUGAGCUCAUUGUCCCUGGAGAUGGACCAAAUAGAAGAAUAAGCAGUGCCUGUGUGGUGAGCUUCAAGAGGCAUCUGUUCUCUGGGGAGUGGGUGGGUGGUAAAGCAAAGACGGGAGAUGUGUAUAUUAGCUAUCCAUUACUGUAUAAUUAAUUAUACACAAAACUAAACUAUACACUAAACUAAAACUUCACAGCUUAAAACAGGAAAUAUGUAUUAUCUCACACAAUUUCUGAGAGUCAGGAAUCUGAAAAUGGCUUAGCUAGUUUGGUUCUGGCUCAGGGUGACCUAUGGAGUUGCAGCCAAGAUGUCAUCUGGGACUACUAUCAUUGGAAGGCUCAGCUGGGGCUGGAGGCUACACUUCCAAGAUGGCUCACUUAUAGGGCUAUUGGUGGGAGGCUUCAGUUCCUCUCCACAUGAAACUUUCCUCAUGCCAUGGAACUGGCUUCCCUCAGAGUGAAAGACCCAAGAGAGAGACUAAGACAGAAGCUGCAAUGUUUUUAUGACCUAGUCUUGGAAGUGACUUACUGUCAUUUCUACUGUAUUUUAUUCAUUAGAAGCAAGUCAUUAAGUCCAGCCCACAUUCAAAGUAAGAGGAUUUAAGCUGAACCUCUUGAAAAAAUGGUAUCAAAGUAUUUACGGACAUUUUAAAAACUACCACAAUACAUAUAGGUGAACUUCACAAGGUGUAGACAUGGGCUGAGACAGAAUAUUGGAUAAUAUCUCAUUCUGCAAACAGCAGCCUCAUCUGUAAUAAAAUCCCAGCAUUCAGAAAUUAUCACGAUCAAGUAGGAAAAGGGCUUGUUGGAAAAAACUUAUCAAAGAUGUUACUUCAUUUAUCCAUUUAUUCUGAGCCAUAGCAUAAUAGCGACAAAUUGUGUGUCCUGUGUAAUUUGGAUACCUCUGCUCAAUAAUAGCUGAACAGAUUUUAUCCUAUUUUUAGAAUAGUUAAUAUAUACACAUGGCACAAAAUUUAAAAGGUAUAAAAGUUUCUGGUUCAAAAAUAAGAUUCCCUCAUUUUCUUUUUUUCUGAUUCUUUGAAUGCAAUUCGAUUUACUGAUUUCUCAUGUAGCCUUAGAAAGUAUUCUAUGUACUUACAA